GACGAACGCUGGCGGCGUGCUUAACACAUGCAAGUCGAACGCUGAAGCUCAGCUUUUGUUGGGUGGAUGAGUGGCGAACGGGUGAGUAACACGUGAGUAACCUGCCUCCUUCUUUGGGAUAACGCCCGGAAACGGGUGCUAAUACUGGAUAUUCACUGGUCUUCGCAUGGGGGUUGGUGGAAAGGGUUUUUCUGGUGGGGGAUGGGCUCGCGGCCUAUCGGCUUGUUGGUGGGGUGAUGGCCUACCAAGGCUUUGACGGGUAGCCGGCCUGAGAGGGUGACCGGGCACAUUGGGACUGAGAUACGGCCCAGACUCCUACGGGAGGCAGCAGUGGGGAAUAUUGCACAAUGGGCGCAAGCCUGAUGCAGCGACGCCGCGGGAGGGAUGGAGGCCUUCGGGUUGUGAACCUCUUUCGCUCAUGGUCAAGCCGCAACAAUGGUUGUGGUGAGGGUAGUGGGUAAAGAAGCGCCGGCUAACUACGUG
Molecule: ribosomal RNA, 483 nt
Filed under: uncultured bacterium
Lineage: Bacteria
Description: partial 16S ribosomal RNA
Rfam family: Bacterial small subunit ribosomal RNA
Source: RNAcentral